Molecule: ribosomal RNA, 488 nt
Filed under: Potamon ibericum
Lineage: Eukaryota; Metazoa; Arthropoda; Malacostraca; Decapoda; Potamidae
Description: partial large subunit ribosomal RNA
Rfam family: Archaeal large subunit ribosomal RNA
Source: RNAcentral
AUUAAAGGGCCGCGGUAUUUUAACCGUGCAAAGGUAGCAUAAUCAUUAGGUUUCUAAUUAGAAUCUUGUAUGAAUGGUUCGACAAAAGAAGUACUGUCUUUAUAUUAAAUUUUGAAUUUAACUUUUAAGUGAAAAGGCUUGAAUAUAUUAAAGGGACGAUAAGACCCUAUAAAACUUUACAUUGUAAUUUUAUUUAAUUAAAUUUGUGAAAUAAAGAUUUAAUUUAAUUAUAUGUUAUGUUGGGGAGACAAAGGUAAAAUAAAUUUUAACUGCUUUAUGUUAAAACAUAUAUUUAUGGAUAUAUUAAAAGAUCCUUUAUAAAGAUUAAAAGAUUAAGUUACUUUAGGGAUAACAGCGUUAUUUUUUUUUGAGAGUUCCUAUCGAAAAGAGAGUUUGCGACCUCGAUGUUGAAUUAAAAUAUCUUUAUAGUGCAGAAGCUAUAAAAGAAGGUCUGUUCAACCUUUAAAUUUUUACAUGAUUUGAGUUCA